RNAcentral lists this RNase P RNA (385 nucleotides) under Candidatus Liberibacter asiaticus. RNAcentral describes it as "RNase P RNA component class A". It matches the Rfam family "Bacterial RNase P class A". From Rfam's summary of the family: Ribonuclease P (RNase P) is a ubiquitous endoribonuclease, found in archaea, bacteria and eukarya as well as chloroplasts and mitochondria. Its best characterised activity is the generation of mature 5'-ends of tRNAs by cleaving the 5'-leader elements of precursor-tRNAs. The record is from RNAcentral. Lineage: Bacteria; Pseudomonadati; Pseudomonadota; Alphaproteobacteria; Hyphomicrobiales; Rhizobiaceae.
CCAGUUGGCUGGGUAGCCGCGCUUUAAGGGAAUGAUCUCUUUAAGGUGAGGAAAGUCCGGGCUCCAUGAAAACUCAACGCCGGAUAACGUCCGGCAAAGGUGACUUUAGGGAAAGUGCCACAGAAAAUAUACCGCCUUCAAUCAAAGGUAAGGGUGAAAUGGUGGGGUAAGAGCUCACCGCGUUUUUGGUAACAGAAAUGGCAGGGUAAACCCCGUUGGGAGCAAGACCAAAUAGGGAUAGCGCGGAGUAAUACUCCAGAUUUGUUUUCGAUCUAGUUAUCCGGGUAGGUUGCAUGAGGUGCUAUGUGAAUAGCAUCCUAGAUGGAUGGCUAUCAGUUUCCUCUAUGGAAAUAUACAGAACCCGGCUUAUAAGCCAACUGGUCGU